RNAcentral lists this long non-coding RNA (1205 nucleotides) under Drosophila guanche. The record is from RNAcentral. Lineage: Eukaryota; Metazoa; Arthropoda; Insecta; Diptera; Drosophilidae.
UUAUUUCAAAUACUGUCAUUCAGAUUACAUAUAAAAUUAAUAUUAUUAGUUUCAAAAUCAGUCAACACAAAAAGAAAGUUGUAGCAGAAAAAGCGGCCAAGUCCAGACAAAGCCAAAUUGGAUAAAUAUUAUCCUUGUGUCGUGGCAAAUAUCGAAAGGCAGAGGAGAAAAACAUUUCUUUCAAUAACUUAAGAACAUUUCCAACAAAUACACAAAACUUUAUUCUCCUCCCAAGGUAAAGGGCACUUGAAAUAAUAUCAAUUACAGCACAAAGAUCCCAAGCCCCCACCAUGUAACUAAAAUCCCCAAACAAGCAGAGCAACAUCCAGCCACAUUGCUCUUGGUAACUGAUUCAAGGAUCCUGCCACUUAGCCACCCGUUUGUGGAAUGCCAGUAGAGUGUGCGAACAGGAGAAUGGUGUCUGCGGCAUCUGAGUAAACAUGGCUAUCAGUUACAGUCUGGAUUCGGUGUGCGGACUCGGACCUUCAGGUCUCAUGGCAUACGGAGACACCCUCUCCAUGUUUGUGUUUAUCGUAAGGCUUGUCUAAUUAUGCAAAACUCAGCAACUUUGCGAUGCGUUAAUGGGACACUCAUAAAACCCACACAAAAAGGGAAAACGUGCGAGGGUUAAAUGCGGAAAAAGGGCGAACAUUUCCCCAUGACUAACAACUUUGCUCACUCUAAUUAAUGUCAAAACUUUAAGGUCGUCCCAUAUCCGAGAUUCAAGCCAUUUGACCGAUUUGAAACGAGUCUAAUGAGACACCAAAUGUUGCAAGGGUUCAAGCAUGAAUGAGUAAAAAGUGUGUGUGUCCAGAGGAUAUAUUAAAAUCCUCAAAAUAAAAUAUUUAAACCAUAUUAAAUUUAUAUUGUUUCCCGCCAAACCCAAGACAGGGGCCUGCGGCAAGCCAAUCAAAUUAAUGCCCGGCUCUGAAAAAUUACUUUUCGCAUUUGAUUAAUAAUCCCGGAACAAUGGGAGCCAGAGCCAAGCCAUAAGCUCAUAAUAGUCAUGGUCUUAGCCUGAAUCCCGGGGGUGGUGGCAUAUUUUGUGCUUAUCAGCGACUUGAGUGGAAUGAGAAUGCCGCACUUUAAUUAGGAAAGCGCAAUUCAGAAAACCCAUGAAUCCCUCGAAAGGGUCGAGUGGAGGUUUACUAUCUAAACUUACCUUAAAUUUUAAAUUAAGACUAGAAAAUCUGCCUGUAAUAAAG